CCUACGGGAGGCAGCAGUGAGGAAUAUUGGUCAAUGGGCGCGAGCCUGAACCAGCCAAGUAGCGUGAAGGAUGACUGCCCUACGGGUUGUAAACUUCUUUUAUAAAGGAAUAAAGUGAGGCACGUGUGCCUUUUUGUAUGGACUUUAUGAAUAAGGAUCGGCUAACUCCGUGCCAGCAGCCGCGGUAAUACGGAGGAUCCGAGCGUUAUCCGGAUUGAUUGGGUUUAAAGGGAGCGUAGAGGGGUUGUUAAGUCAGUUGUGAAAGUUUGCGGCUCAACCGUAAAAUUGCAAUUGAUACUGGCAGCCUUGAUUACAGUUGAGGUAGUCGGCAUUCGUGUUGUAGCGG
Molecule: ribosomal RNA, 346 nt
Filed under: uncultured bacterium
Lineage: Bacteria
Description: partial 16S ribosomal RNA
Rfam family: Bacterial small subunit ribosomal RNA
Source: RNAcentral